This 2605-nucleotide long non-coding RNA is filed under the name Aotus nancymaae (Ma's night monkey). RNAcentral describes it as "lncRNA (ENSANAG00000038768.1)". The record is from RNAcentral. Lineage: Eukaryota; Metazoa; Chordata; Mammalia; Primates; Aotidae.
CUUAAGCUCAUGGUCCACAAGUAUAAUUCAAGGUGUCUGUGAACUUGAAUUGUGUAAUGUGGCCAUAAAUACUUUAAAGUUUCUUCCAUUGAGACAUGGAGCUUAAUUCUCCUUUUCUCACUCUGUCAAAGAUUUAGUGAUUUGCUUGACCAAUAGAUUAUGGUGUAAACGACAUUGAGUCUCCUGAAGCUAGAUUAUAAGAGGACUUGCAGCUUUUGCCUAGGACGCUGAAGCUGAUCUUGAAAGGCUCCCUUUUGGAAUGCAGCCACCAUGAGAGGAGAAGUAAAGCUGAAUAACAGUCAACCUGUAGUAAGAGAAACUGACAAACAGCAUCUUUAUGACAUAUUGAUCACCAGGAAGACAAAACACAUCUGUAACUCAUGGUGGGCAUUGCUGAUGACUGCAACAGGGUCUCCUUUGGGAGUUACCAGGCCUCAGGAAAAGUCAGCGGAUACGAGCCCCAUCCUGCCUUUCCCAGGAAUCUUCUGCCUGCUGCCUCUCAGCCUCUACUGCUAUCAGUUCCUGCCACCUCAGAAGGGCAGCUCUGGAUAUACCGAACCCAUCUUUGGCAGUGGUUUCCUUCAUGGGCUUUGAUUCUCAUCCUCAAAGCUACCUCAUUCUACCCUGCCUACUUUCAGAUCUUCUGGAGUUCCAUACUAUGCUUGGGCUUCUAAGAAUCUUUCUGGUGUGGGAGUAAAUGGAUACUUGGACCGAAAAUUAAGGAUUUUUACAUAUUAUUAUUUUCAUUGACUUCCGUGUUUGUCACAAUGGAUGAGGACUGCAGUCUGUGCCCCUGGAGCCACCUUGAAACCUGGAACUUAGCACGGCACUUGAAAUAGGACCCACUCUUUUGUCUCUGGAUAUUUCUUUUAGUUAUUACUUCAACUUAACCAAAAUAAUUUAGUUACUUGUUACUAAACCAUAUUCCCUUCCGUUCCAUUUUGUUAUUUAAUUUCACAACAUUCUUACAAACUAUACAUUGAAUUUAACGUAUUUUAGAAAGAGGUACCAUUCUUAGUGGCAAUCAGACAUGAAACAUCACUUCCAUCAUGUUGAUUAUGGAAAACAAGACAUAAAUAAGGAGUUUUAUUACACGAUGUGUGAAAAACUUCAGAUUUUAAACUAGAUUUCUUUAUACUGUAUCACAUAAAUGAGACUUCCUAUAAGUAGUGAUUUACAUGUAUUUAUGUGGACAUGUAAGACACAGUAUCCAUAUUAAUUGGGAUUGUUAGAAUGUUUAUAUGUUUACUUUUAUAAUUUUUAUUGUUUCUAUUUUAGUUCAUAUCUAGAAUUUAUAUUUUUCAGAAAUAAUUCAAAUAUUCUUCAACAGGGUAAAUAUUUUUAGAUAUUAUUAUAGUAUACUUAAAGGAACUAUAUCUUUUAUUCUUUUUUAAUGAAUUUCACAUAUUACAUACCACAUUUUAAAAAUAUGAUUGAAUUGUGAAUUCCUUUCAUCCUUCUUUUAAUGACUAGGGUUUCAAAAAUAGACUUGUAAGUUGAUUGCUUUUUAAAUGAAUUUUAGUCAACCAUCUCCAAUUUGGUCUUUUAACUAAUAUAAUUAUUAAUUUGCUUCUUCUGAAUUACCAGUCAGUAAGUAAUUCAAAUAAGCAUUUGAGGAUCCUGUCUCCUGGGUCCAUCUAAGAAUCCCAAAUCCUUUUGAUGGUAACAUAUUUUAGCCCACACUUUAUCAUGGAGAUUUGCCAUGGGUACUAAGCAGGACAUCAUAAUGUCAAAUGUGUUAGUCCAAUGCAAGUCUCUUAAUCAAUUUACUGCCUUGGCUUAAGGCUACCUCUGGAUUCUCCUGUCAAGGAAAAAUUUUGCAUAAUUUGUGAUGUGGAAAUAUUUUACUUAAGCUGUUUAUAUAAUUCUGACUUUUUCCUUGGAGACUUGCUGUACAAGUUUUCUAUCCUUCCCUUCCUCUUUGAUCUAACGCUGUCAGAAAUUCAUUUACAUUUCAGACUCUCUGGUUAAAUACAUGUCCUUUGGGUUAUGAAGAAUUGUGAAAUGACAGAAUUGGACAUAAAUGUAUAAAUUUCAUGAUCUAUUGAAGUAUCGGUUACUUCAUUUCAUCCACUUAUUUUAAGUGCUUGUCUAUUAUGUGUGUUGUAUAUGUGUGUGCAUAUAUAUAUAGAUAUAAAUUUAUAUACUUGUGUGCACAUAUGCACACACAUUUAAAAAUAUAUACACAAAAUUGGGAUGCCUUAUUUUCAAAAAUACCCAUAUGGUGAAAUUCCUUACUAAUGUCAAUUAUUGAAAGAGUGUUUUAACUUUGUUUCUGCAAUUAUUCUGACUGCAAAUCUAAAUAUGUUUGUUGCUACAGCUUUGAUAUUUCUUCUUAGAAGCACUUGUUGUAAUAGAAUUGUAUUUUAAAAUAACUGCCCCUGACAUCUUUAUUUUACCUAAUAACUUCUUUUUUAAAAAAUUGCUUGUCAAAGAUUAUACCUAAAAUGCUAUUUAUUGUAACUUGUUUUACUUUUCAGGGCACAGAAGACUUCCUUUAAAUACACUUCUUUAAUAAUAAUAAAAACUAUUAGCAAUAUAUUUCCUAUUUCAAGUUGCUAUGAUCUCAAACAAUUAGUAACCAUUCUUUGUAAACACUCUGGCC